This is a long non-coding RNA of Pogoniulus pusillus (Red-fronted tinkerbird), 413 nucleotides long. RefSeq lists it as uncharacterized. The transcript has 2 exons. NCBI's taxonomy places the organism in Eukaryota, Metazoa, Chordata, Aves, Piciformes, Lybiidae. The record is from RefSeq and is a predicted model, not a curated record.
CAGCUGGGCAGAGGAUCCUCCUCCAGUCACCACUGGGAACAAAUGUUUCUCGGAUGACCCUGGAAAAGCUGAGAUGCUCAAGUUUGAGCAAGACUCAUUCUCUGUAUUCCUGCACUGUGAGCGACACCAAAAGGAGAGAACAUAAACCCAGGAUGGGAACAAGAGGACACAAGAGGCUGGUUCUGACACAAACAGGUUAUGGAGAGUCUGCACUGCACUUCCUUUUGCUGGUGUUGUGAUCAGCAUCCCACCUGACCCUUUCCUGGCUCUGCAUUUCACACUUACAAUUUCAGUGCAGAUUGCUGUAAUAAUUUGGAUCCUACCCUUCACACACACAUGCUUUUUAACAUCAUCUCCAAAUACAUGCCCAGCAGAAAGGACUACCUGACCUGCAAAACAACUAUUCCAUAUGA